Molecule: long non-coding RNA, 1408 nt
Filed under: Pan troglodytes (chimpanzee)
Lineage: Eukaryota; Metazoa; Chordata; Mammalia; Primates; Hominidae
Description: lincRNA
Source: RNAcentral
GCGGGCCACGGGCCUCGCUGCGGGUUCAAGUGCGUCCGGGUUUGGACGUCGCGGCUCCAGGAGUGUGCUCUCUCUCCUGCCCAUCCGCUCCCCGGAGUUCAGCGCAUCCGCGGCCCCGGGGACCCCUCUUCCCGGCCCUCCUGGCCGCGCUGGGCCGCCCGCAUGGGGCCGAGGUUCCUGGCCGACGCGCGAGGGCGCGGGCGGGUACCGGGUUCCCGUUUUUCCCAGGCCCCGAUCCCCGCCCACGCACGAGGCCACCGGCCCACGCACGAGGCGCCCACGCCCAUCGUGGAGGCUUCGCCUGGAAAAGAAGUCCGACUUCCUCUCCAAGCUGCUCCGAGGGGAAUCGGGAAUCAGCAGGAAAUGACCCGAACUGCCAGCCUGCGCCUUUGCAGCCGGCCCUCGCUUUGCUGAAGACGAGCAGCUCCCACCAAAGUCUUGCCUCCCCUUACCCCGAAAGCCCCGCUCAGUUCAAUAUUUCAAGUGAAAAUUUGCCUGUUCAAAAAGAAAAUAUUCACAAAUGAGCAGUGUAUUAGAAGACAACUGAAUUGCUUCUAAGAAUGGGUCUCACUCUGCCAUCACCCAGGCUGGAGUGUGGUGGCACCAUCAUGGCUCACUGCAGCCUUGAACUCCUGAGCUCAAGUCAUCCUCCCACCUCAGCCUUCCGAGUAGCUGGAACUGCAGGUGUGAGCCACCAUGCCUGGCUGAUUUGUCUUUUUAAAUUUUUUUAUAGAGACCGGGUCUCAACUAUAUUGUCCAGGCUGGAAAAGAACUUCUUUCCCUCCAAGUGAUAACCUUUUCCAGACAAGUCAGCUUAAAAACUGACCCAAAGGCCCUGAAGUACACAGUUUCCUUGGAGAAAGAAAAACAUAAGUGAAAAGGACUUGCUGACUUGCUAAUUCAUUUUGGGGCCUGUGGGUAACAUCAGAAUGGCAAAGCACUUGGGGCUUUUUUCUAAUUUGUAUUUUUUUAAUCUUCUGAGAAAUGACUUUUAUAUGCCAAGAUUCAUUCCAUGAUUAGUUUUUAUGACCAAGUUAUGAACGCUUUUGAAUAUGGGGACCUAGAAUAGAAAUGCUAACCUACCUGUAAGGAGAGCUCUGUGAUUGGCAUCCCCAUCAUGCUGUAACUGACACAAAAUAAACUUAGGGUAAUCGCCGCAUAGUGUAACUUUAAUGUGUGAGCAUAUUGUAACAUCUGACAAGCUUCUUGAUCUAGUUCAGCAAUGUGUAACUCAUUCAUUGUUGUCACUCUCAACAAGGCCUUAUGGUCAAACAUCAUCACUCUCACUAAAGAGACAGUUUACUGAAAUAUACUGAGAUUUUGAAACUGGAGUCAAGAGGUAGCACACUGUUUUAUGUUGGUCCAUUUAAUGGUCCUUGACAGCCAAUAAAAAGACACUGGAAGAAUA